GUUGUUGCAUGUGCAUUCCCAUCCAAUUCAAUAACGUAAGGAAGACUUGAAGGUUAAAAAAGUGCUAUCACAGUUAACCUAGGGCAUUGAGAAUCAUAGUUUAUUGAAAGAAGCAAUUGGAAAUCAAUUUGAAUGCAAGUGUUUCAUGUGUGGAGAAGAUCCCCCUAGUUACCCCAUAUCUCAUCAAAUCACCUAAUUUUGUCUAAGAAUCUGUUUUCAUUGUUCUUGUUUUAAUUUAAUUAUUUUCGUCCAAAAUCAAUCCCACCUUAUUUCUUUGAGUCAUAUUAACUAGAACUUGUCUUAGAAUAUGUUUUUAGGUGUUUUAGGUCAUUAGAAAACCAAAAUUCGUCCAAGUUGUGUUAGAGUCCCAAAACUGCCCAGAAAGUGGUUUUUAGGCAGUUCUUUC
Molecule: long non-coding RNA, 406 nt
Filed under: Malus domestica (apple)
Lineage: Eukaryota; Viridiplantae; Streptophyta; Magnoliopsida; Rosales; Rosaceae
Description: long non-coding RNA (MDOM_LNC019800)
Source: RNAcentral